CCUACGGGUGGCAGCAGUGGGGGAUAUUGCACAAUGGGGGCAACCCUGAUGCAGCGACGCCGCGUGAGUGAAGGAGCGUUUCGGCGCGUAAAGCCCUAUCGGCAGGGAAGAAUAUGACGGUACCUCACCAAGAAGCCCCGGCUAACUACGUGCCCGCAGCCGCGGGAAGACGUAGGGGGCAAGCGUUAUCCGGAUUUACUGGGUGUAUAGGGAGCGCAGACGGGAAUGCAAGCCACGAGUGAAAGCCCGCGGCUCAACCCCGGGACUGCACUUGAAACUGAUUGUCUGGAGUACAGGAGGGGCAGGCGGAAUUCCUAGUGUAGCGGUGAAAUGCGUAGAUAUUAGGAGGAACACCAGUGGCGAAGGCGGCCUGCUGGACUGUGACUGACGUUGAGGCCCGAAGGCGUGGGGAGCAAACAGGAUUAGAUACCCUGGUAGUC
Molecule: ribosomal RNA, 440 nt
Filed under: uncultured bacterium
Lineage: Bacteria
Description: partial 16S ribosomal RNA
Rfam family: Bacterial small subunit ribosomal RNA
Source: RNAcentral